GCCGAGGUAGCUCAGUUGGUAGAGCACUGCCCUGAAAAGGCAGGUGUCCCCGGUCCGAGUCCGGGCUUCGGCACCA
Molecule: transfer RNA, 76 nt
Filed under: Planctomycetota bacterium
Lineage: Bacteria; Pseudomonadati; Planctomycetota
Also listed under: 1 other name
Description: tRNA-Phe
Rfam family: tRNA
About the family: Transfer RNA (tRNA) molecules are approximately 80 nucleotides in length. Their secondary structure includes four short double-helical elements and three loops (D, anti-codon, and T loops).
Source: RNAcentral